GACGAACGCUGGCGGCGUGCUUAACACAUGCAAGUCGAGCGGUAAGGCCCUUUCGGGGGUACACGAGCGGCGAACGGGUGAGUAACACGUGGGUGACCUGCCCUCAGCUCUGGGAUAAGCCUGGGAAACUGGGUCUAAUACUGGAUAUGACUCCACGGUGCAUGUCGUGGGGUGGAAAGCCUUGUGCGGCUGAGGAUGGGCCCGCGGCCUAUCAGCUUGUUGGUGGGGUGAUGGCCUACCAAGGCGACGACGGGUAGCCGGCCUGAGAGGGCGACCGGCCACACUGGGACUGAGACACGGCCCAGACUCCUACGGGAGGCAGCAGUGGGGAAUCUUGCGCAAUGGGCGAAAGCCUGACGCAGCGACGCCGCGUGAGGGAU
RNAcentral lists this ribosomal RNA (380 nucleotides) under uncultured bacterium. Its description in RNAcentral is "bacterial SSU rRNA". It matches the Rfam family "Bacterial small subunit ribosomal RNA", at positions 28 to 409 of the family's 1533-position model. The record is from RNAcentral.